This 434-nucleotide ribosomal RNA is filed under the name uncultured bacterium. RNAcentral's name for it is "bacterial SSU rRNA". It matches the Rfam family "Bacterial small subunit ribosomal RNA", at positions 340 to 767 of the family's 1533-position model. The record is from RNAcentral.
UACGGAAGGCAGCAGUGGGGAAUAUUGCACAAUGGGCGCAGGCCUGAUGCAGCCAUGCCGCGUGUAUGAAGAAGGCCUUCGGGUUGUAAAGUACUUUCAGUCGUGAGGAAGGUGUUAAGGUUAAUAACCUUAGCAAUUGACGUUAGCGACAGAAGAAGCACCGGCUAACUCCGUGCCAGCAGCCGCGGUAAUACGGAGGGUGCGAGCGUUAAUCGGAAUUACUGGGCGUAAAGGGCACGCAGGCGGUUAAUUAAGUUGGAUGUGAAAUCCCCGGGCUUAACCUGGGAAUGGCAUUCAAGACUGGUUAGCUAGAGUCUUGUAGAGGGGGUAGAAUUCCGAUGUGUAGCGGUGAAAUGCGUAGAGAUGUGGAGGAAUACCGGUGGCGAAGGCGGCCCCUGGACAAAGACUGACGCUCAUGUGCGAAAGCGUGGGGA